This 484-nucleotide ribosomal RNA is filed under the name uncultured bacterium. RNAcentral describes it as "partial 16S ribosomal RNA". It matches the Rfam family "Bacterial small subunit ribosomal RNA", at positions 28 to 507 of the family's 1533-position model. The record is from RNAcentral.
AUUGAACGCUGGCGGCAUGCUUUACACAUGCAAGUCGAACGGCAGCGCGGGCUUCGCCCUCGCGUCGAGUGGCGAACGGGCGAGUAAUGCAUGGGAACGUGCCCAGUUGCUGUGUAUAGCCCGGCGACAGCCGGAUUAAUACCGCAUAAGACCAUAGGGCGAAAGCGGGGGAGCGAAAGGCCUCGCGCCAUUGGAGGGUCCGAUGUGGGGUUAGCUAGUUGGUGGGGUAAAGGCUUACCAAGGCGACGAUCCGUAGCUGGUCUGAGAGGACGACCAGCCACACUGGAACUGAGACACGGCCCAGACUCCUACGGGAGGCAGCAGUGGGGAAUUUUGGACAAUGGGGGCAAGCCUGAUCCAGCCAUGCCGCGUGCGGGAAGAAGGCCUUCGGGUUGUAAACCGCUUUUGUUGGGGAAGAAAUCCUCUGGGCUAAUACCCCGGGGGGAUGACGGUACCGGAAGAAUAAGCACCGGCUAACUACGUG